This 806-nucleotide ribosomal RNA is filed under the name uncultured Planctomycetota bacterium. Its description in RNAcentral is "bacterial SSU rRNA". It matches the Rfam family "Bacterial small subunit ribosomal RNA", at positions 46 to 832 of the family's 1533-position model. Lineage: Bacteria; Pseudomonadati; Planctomycetota. The record is from RNAcentral.
GGAUUAGGCAUGCAAGUCGUACGAGAAAGGUUUCUUCGGAGACCGAGUAAAGUGGCGAACGGGUGAGUAAUGCAUAGACAACUUGCCCCCGAGAUGGGGAUAACGUUUCGAAAGGAUCGCUAAUACCCAAUAUCGUCUCGAGUCCGCGGAUUCGAAAUGGAAGGAGGCCUCUGUUUCAAGCUUCCGCUCGGGGAGAGGUUUAUGUCCUAUUAGCUUGUUGGUGAGGUAACGGCUCACCAAGGCUGCGAUGGGUAGCCGACCUGAGAGGGUGACCGGCCACAUUGGGACUGAGACACUGCCCAAACUCCUACGGGAGGCUGCAGUCGAGAAUCUUCCGCAAUGCGCGCAAGCGUGACGGAGCGACGCCGCGUGGGUGAUGAAGGCCUUCGGGUUGUAAAGCCCUGUCAGUUGCUAGGAAACGCAGAAGGUGAAUAGCCUUUUGCCUGACCAUGCAGCAAAGGAAGCACCGGCUAAAUACGUGCCAGCAGCCGCGGUAAUACGUAUGGUGCAAACGUUGUUCGGAAUCACUGGGCCUAAAGAGCGCGUAGGCGGUUAGGUAAGUCAGAUGUGAAUUCCCCCGGCUCAACCGGGGAACUGCAUCUGAUACCGCCUAGCUAGAGUGCAGGAGGGGAGAGUGGAAUUCCUGGUGGAGCGGUGAAAUGCGUAGAUAUCAGGAGGAACGCCGGUGGCGAAAGCGACUCUCUGGACUGUUACUGACGCUGAGGCGCGAAAGCUAGGGGAGCAAACGGGAUUAGAUACCCCGGUAGUCCUAGCCCUAAACGAUGGGCACUAAGUAGAGGGGUUUU